UCCUGCAGGGGUUGGAGAAGGUGACAUUCAUGCCAGCUGAGAGCCAGCACAGAGCUGGCCAUCAACUUGUCCCCUUCCCUUCCCCCUGCCUGCUGCUACCUCAGUAGAAACACCUGCUCUGGAUAUAGAGAAACUUUGAGAGAAGAAGAAAUAUGCAUCCAAAUAAAAAAAUGCCUUUGUCUUCCAACCUCCCUGCCCUUUUCCAGAUCUCUUUGAAAUAGCCCCCCGGCUAGGGUUUCUGGGGUGAAACACUGGCACCUGCUGCUUCCAAGCUGGGAGUAAAGUGCCCUGUAAAGGGAAGAGGAGGUGUCCUCUCUGCACUGCCACCACUGGCCAGUGUCUGUGAUCAGCAUGAGCAUCUGAGCAUUUGCUUUCCGUGAGGAAGUUUGGCCCGGACAUCUGAAGCUCAUUAGCUGCCUGCUCCCAGGGGGAUGACCCUGCUUGGAGAGAAUUAUCCCGGACAGAGCCACAGAGGAUGGAGCAAAUGAAGACCAGCUGUUCCCUGAGGACUAAGCCUUGACAGCAGAUCCUGGAAGACAGCCUUAGACCGGAUUCUGGAAAGGCCUGGCGUCUCUUCCAGAACAGCAGAGCUUCCGCCCAAACGGAACUGUUUAAGUGCAGAUAUAGUCAGAAACAGUCCCAGCCAGGAGUCCAGAGCCUGCAUCCAGUCCUGCCUAGACUGUGGAUUGACUCUGUGACCUUGGGCCAGUCCCUGGCCUCUGUUUCUUCUGCUGUAAAAUGUGGACUUGGACUUGAACACGUGGUUUCCCCACGGCUGAUCUGUCAGCUUCUCUUGGGCAAGGACUGUGCCCUCUCCUCUUGGAUGGGCCAUAGCAUUUGGGAUCAGAGGGCAGGGUUCAAGCUUCCCUGGUGAUGAUCCAGACCAUCCCUCCCCAGCAGUGUGACCAUCAGCAGGACACCACACCACGCGGUCCUCUACGCCCCUGUGGAAAGACACAGCGCAGGUGCUGACCCUCUCGUGUCUCAGGGUGGCCGUAGAUCCCAUGAGAGGUGGACCUUAAAGACCUCUGGACAACACAGAGCAAGGAGCUGUACUGGGCUGUUACGAGAGGGUGUCCUCAGCCUGCCCGGUGCCUGGCUCCUUCCUGGUUCCAUGCUGGCUCAGGGGGUCUGGCCCAGGCUUGUAGAUAGAGCCACUGCCUGCCCACAGGCUCACAUCACUCUGGCAGAAGAAUGUGUGGAUCCGGGGCCCAGCCCACCACAGGAAGUCUCAGUAACGAUGCCCAGAGGGCCUUGGGGCCCAUGACAGCAUGGCCAGCAGUUUCCCUUGUUGGAACUCAUAGAGGCCAUUUUAAAAUACAGUGCUGCCUUUUUUCCUUUCUUUCUUUUUCCAUUCUGGCGAAGGCAUGGAAUGUGAAAGUGGCUAAAUUAGCACAGGAAGAUGUAGAGGCUGGGUUCAUGGGCUGACUCAGCUUUCUGGGGUCCUAAAAACAAUGGGAGACCCAGGAAGUCUGGCCCCUGUUUCCUCAUGCCCACCUUGACCCCACUCCAGGCUCCCCUGACAGGACCGGCGUCGGGUGUGGGGGAGCGAUAACAGCCUGCCUCUGGUUCCCAGGAGACCUCUCAGGACCUCAGCUUGCCAUCUGUUAUGGACUGGAUAUUUGUGCCCCCCACCCCUGCCCCCGAAUUCAUAUGCUGAAGACCUACCCCCAAGUGUGAUGGUAUUUGGGGAUGGGGCCUUUGAGAGGUAAUUAGGUUUGGAGGAGGACAUGAGAGUGGAGCCCCACAGUGGGAUUAGUGGCUUUAUAGAAAAAGGAAGAGAAACCAGAGAUCUCUGUUUCUCUGUCUUUCUCUGGGAGCACACAGAGAACGUGUGAACCCACAGUGAGAUGGUCACCAUCCGCAAGCCGGGAAGAGGGCUCUUACCAAGCACUCACUGGCCAGCACCUUGAUCUUGGACUUCCCAGCCUGCAGCUCUGUGAGAAAUAACUGUCUGUGGUUUAAGCCACCCAAUCUAUGGCAUUUUAUUAGAGCACCCUGACUAGACUAAGACACAUGGAUGAAACAGGCAUAAUAACCCCUCCCCUGACUAUUGCUGAUAAGAAUAAGAUGCAGUACUAGCUGACCGUUCAUUGAGUAAUGCAUUCACUCAACCAAUACGUGCAAAACAGCUUCUGUGUAACAGGCACUGUUCUAGAAGCUGAGGUAUAGCAGUGAACAAAGCAGACAAAGCUCCCUGCCCUUGAGGAGCUGACGUUCUAGUAGGGAAGACCGACAGAAACCAGAUAAAGCACUGAAGGAUAUAGUGUGUCUGAUGGAUGACAGAAAGUGUCACGGAGAGCAAGUCCCCCUGGAAGGAGGCCAGCAUACCAGCAGGGAGGGGCGGGCCUGUUCACACUUAGAAAUAAGGAGGUCAGGGCAGGCCGCUGUGAGAAGGGGGCCUUUGGGGAGGGCUGAAGGAAGAGAGGGGAGGCCAUGUGAUCAUUUAGGGAAAGGGCAUUCCCAGCUGUGAAAGGACACCGGCUAUUGUAGGAAGCAGGGUACCGGCUAGAAAUGAUUUCUAGGUGUGUCUUCUGCCCCUCAAAAGUGCCCAGCUCCAUUCUGGGCACAGGCAGGCUCUGAACGGUCCAGGGCAUAACUGCAGAUGGUCCAGUCUCAUCUUCCUGUUAGCCUCACCUUAAUGGGCCAUUGUUAAGCAGCUCUUUCAUGUUAGGCACCAGAGAAUGCCUGAGGGCCCCAGAGAAAGCUCAGGCCUGCAACAGACUGGGUGUCAGGAGGCCUGGGCUCUCAUUCUGGCUCUGCUGCUGGCUGACAAGGUGACAUUAGACAAGGCACUGGCCUUAAUUUCCCAGUCAUUAAAAAAAAGGUGGAUGCUGGUUGUCAAGGGCUGAGGGGAAGGGAAAGGGAGGCAGGGGUGCUGUUGAGUACGGGGUUUCUUUCUGGGGUGAUGAAAUGCUGUGGAGUUAGAUAGUGGUGAUGGUUGCACAACUUUGUAAAUAUACUAAAAUCUACUGAGUGGCACAUUUAAAAAUAGAAAAAACAUAUGGUUGGUUGGACAAGACAACAGGAUGAAACACUAACAUUAUUUGUACCUAUGGGGCCUGGACUCAGCAUUUGCCUGUUAUCUCAUGAUCUCUAGGGUUCCUCCCAGUUCAGACUUUCUGUGAUCCACCGCAUCGAUGUUCAUGUUGCCAUCACUCAUCAGUACAUCCAACUUGAGCCCCUCACCCAGGCCCAACACUAGGCUAGAGACGGGGGAAGAGGUGAGAAGCGGAUGCAUCUCCCAGCAGGAGCUCAGAGCCUGUGAAGGAAAUCAGAAGUGCACAUUGGACCCAAGAAGUUCUUUUCUUUAGAACUAGCUCCUUCCUUUCCUUUCCUUGUAUGGAAAAGAACCCCAAAACACAAGGGAGACACACAACUCUGUGUCCGUACAAGGGGCCCUGAGAGUUGAUUUAUUCAUUAAUGCACCAGAGCCUUUGGCUGGGUGUUCAGGAUGCAAUAGUGGGCAAGUCAGACCCAGCCCUGCCCUUAGGAAGGGAGACAGACGUUAAAAUGAUCAAACACACAAUUAAGAAUUUCUUUGAUUAUUGUGAUUGUGAUCGGAACCGUGGAAGGAAAACACAUGAUGUAUUGAACGGCUGACCAAGGGCACUGGCAUGGCUGGAGCUGGGUUCUAAGGGCGAGUAGGAACAAUGAAGGGGUGUGGAGAUGGGGGUGGCGUGGGGAAGGGUGUUCCAGACAAUUCCAAGGCCCUAAGUGUCUGCAGAGGAAGGCGAGUGAAGGAAGCGCAGACAGCCAGGGGCAGGGGGCGGGCGGGGUUGGGGCGCAGCUGCAGCAGGAACAGGCCAGGCCCAACCGGGCAGGGCCUUAGAGGCCCGGAGGCCACACAUACCCGUUUAUGCCUGUCGUCCCCCUCACUCUGGAGUGUCUCAGUUCGGACAAUAAACUGUACAGCCACCCGACUUACAGGUCACACGAAGGAGUUUGUCCUAAGAACAACCCGUGCUCCGGGAAGGUCUGGUCGUGCUCCUCCAAGCCUGCUGCUCCGCACGUCGGGAGCGAGGCGCUGCCAGCCGGCGCGGCCACCGCGGUUGUUUCAGCUGGAUGAUGUGUGAGGGGCCCGGCUUGGCAGCUGCUGGCCAUCCGGCCACGCCGCCCUCCUCCCAGGCAGACCCUGCUGCCCCCACGCCAGCCUCCCCGGCUUCAGUAUCUCGAGUGAGAGCUUUGCCACCAGGUCUCAGGCCAACCCUGGUUCUUGGCUCCAGGUUCGGUGAGCCGGUUUCCGGCCGUCCCGCCCUCGGCUGCUCCCCGAGGACCAGCUCCAGGCCUCGGCCACAGCCUCUUGCUCUUUCCACUCUUGCACUCUUGUUUUUAAUUUUUGCCUCUCUUUAUUUUCCUCUCUGUGUGACUCUGUCUGCGGGGCCUCUCCCUCUUUCAUCCGCCUUCUGUUUUUUCUCUUUUUUCCUCCAGGGUAGCUUGGCACCAAGAAAAGUCUGCGUUUCAGGACAGAUGGAAUGGGGUUCCAUCCUUGCUCUGUCACCUGCUGGCCGCGUGACCUUGAGCAAACACAUCCUUCUCCUCUGAGCCAGUUUUGGGUUCUGUGAAAUGGAUGUGAUCUGCCUCAGUCCUGCGUCCCUGGGUAGUUGUGAGCUGGGAUGAAGUUCAGAGUCCUUCCUGGAAGUUGAAGGUGCUCAGCAAAUGGCAGUUUCCUCCUACCUUCCUCUUGCACUUUCUUCCCCCUGACCUUCUGCAUGCUUUGCUCACUUACCCACAAAGUGAGAAACCGAAGCCUUCCCACAGGACCCCAACCACCUUGCUCUCCCGGCGCGGCCCCACCAAACUGAGACUGGAGUGGAGCCAAGAGCCUUAUGACACGUGCGGCCUGCUCUAUGCUAGCCUGGGGCAGGAGGACGUGCCUGGAUGCCAUAAGACUCCUGGGAAGGGGGACAUGGGAGGUGUCCUCUGAGUUAUGCUGUGAUGCAGACACCAGACUCUUGUGUUUUCAUCAACUGAUGGACAAAAGUCAGCCUUUCACACACCCUCAGGCCUGCAGAUUUCUGACUGUCCCCCCCACCACAUCACACCCUGCGCUUUCCAGCAUCCCCUGGGGCUAAAACAUGAUAGAGCAGGAAACUGAGGCUCAGGAAUAUCCAGAUGCUGGUAUUUUUUGUAACAAGAAUGUGUUCAGUGUAAUAUAUUGUCCUAUUUAUUAAAAGGCAAAUAAAAUAGUUUGCCUAGGGUGCCAGUGGAUCUGGAAUUGAAACACAGGUCUGAGGGACUCCAGACUUCACACUUGUUCUCCUCUCUCUGUCACAUACUGGUGACUAUGUGGCUCCUUCUGUAACUUACUUCCUAGAUGUCACUUAAAAGACAAUUGUGUAAUAAACCCAUACAUUUGUGGUCAACUGAGUUUUGACAAAACAGCCAAGACAAUUCAAUGGAAAAAGAAUAGUCUUUUUAAUAAAUGAUG
Vicugna pacos (alpaca) is the source of this 5431-nucleotide non-coding RNA. The record is from RefSeq and is a predicted model, not a curated record. Lineage: Eukaryota; Metazoa; Chordata; Mammalia; Artiodactyla; Camelidae.